This 451-nucleotide long non-coding RNA is filed under the name Salvia miltiorrhiza (redroot sage). RNAcentral's name for it is "long non-coding RNA (SMIL_LNC010350)". Lineage: Eukaryota; Viridiplantae; Streptophyta; Magnoliopsida; Lamiales; Lamiaceae. The record is from RNAcentral.
GGCUACCGCAUCGCCGGCGGCCCCCUCGGGGAGAUCACCGACCCCAUCUACCCCGGCGGGAGCUUCGACCCCUUGGGGCUGGCCGAUGACCCCGAGGCCUUCGCCGAGCUCAAGGUGAAGGAGAUAAGAAGGGAGACUUGCAUGUUCUCGAUGUUCGGAUUCUUCGUUCAGGCCAUCGUCACCGGAAAGGGGCCGUUGGAGAACCUCGCCGACCACCUUGCCGACCCGGUCAACAACAAUGCAUGGGCCUUCGCCACCAACUUUGUGCCCGGAAAGUGAGGGGUGGAUAUGAUGAUGAGUUUUUGUGGUGUAAAUGUGUUGAGCUAAUGGGAAUUAUCUAAUUUUUUGUUUUGCAUUAGCUUUGUUAAUGAUGUGGUUCGUGGUGACGGAUCUUAUGUUGUUUGUAUAAUCUGCUAUCACCAGAUUUUAUGUGAAUUGUGAUGUUCCUUAA